GAAGGCAAAGAAAGCCUGUUUCUAGCAGAUAACCAGGGUUGUAUCUAAAAUUUUUCAUAUAUUGAACUAAAUAAAGAUCAAUUCUUUACCUGAAUUACUAUAGAAUAGGAAUCAAAUCUCUAAAAUCUAAAUUCAAAUCUUUGUAUAGGCCUAGAUCUGUAGGCCCUCUACUUCGCACACACGCCAAGCUCUACGGGAAAGCGGGAUGAAGCCUUGGAUUGAAGCACCUUCGCAAGGCCAC
This 241-nucleotide long non-coding RNA is filed under the name Elaeis guineensis (African oil palm). RNAcentral describes it as "long non-coding RNA (EGUI_LNC076873)". Lineage: Eukaryota; Viridiplantae; Streptophyta; Magnoliopsida; Arecales; Arecaceae. The record is from RNAcentral.